GCCGGAGCAGCGGCGAAGCAUCGCUCGGUGAGGGGCGGAGCGCUCGGGCGGGUCGGUCGGGCCUCCCGCCCCGAAAAUUGUGUGGUAGUGGAUAAUGAGGCUGGUGCCCUGCUCUCCGGGUGUGGGCGCGGGGAUUGCGCUGCCUGCCCGUGUCGCCAGGGCCUCAGGGCCUCCCCAGGGCCGCCACUUGUGUUGCAUUUGCCGUCCCAGGACCUCGGUGUCCGACCUGAGGCUCCCGAACUGCUCCUCGCUGGCUGGUUUUCUGAGAGGAGAAACUGGCAGAGGACCUUGGAUUGGGCAAUGUUUACAGCAGUCCAGAUGUGAAGGCUGGUGCCUCAUUAAGUCACCCUGAUCUUCUAAUCCCAGAGGUGUUCACAAAAGAAGUUCCAAAUAAAUAUCAACAGAAGUAAGCACAUGCAGCCAAUGUCAGUGUUCUGGACCUUGAAAUGCAGCUAGUAGGUU
This is a long non-coding RNA of Athene cunicularia (burrowing owl), 462 nucleotides long. RefSeq lists it as uncharacterized. The record is from RefSeq and is a predicted model, not a curated record. Lineage: Eukaryota; Metazoa; Chordata; Aves; Strigiformes; Strigidae. The transcript has 3 exons.